CGGUGCAGUCUGAGGACAGGAUCGCCCUUCGGUCUGAGCAUUGGUAGAGCAUCUCCUAGCCAAGACCCCACACGUCAUCCUGCAGUCUGGAUUCCGUCAUGGUCAGCAGGCAACUCAGCAUCCUCUCUCUGGACCUACUACUCAGACUUUGAAGAGAGCACGUGGAGUGACUCCAGCCAGCCAAUCAGAGGCAUUCAAGACUCCUCUUGAAUCCCUGGAAAGAGUUGCCCUCUACCCUGGCGGAUGUUACAUUAGUGAGAAGCAUGGAGCUGCUGCAGUCAUUUUGCCCCCAAGCUGAAACUGACACUGCAGAAAGAAACUGGAUCCCAGUAAUGGGUACUGGGACUUAUGGUAUCAGCCACCAAGAAAAUACCUUCCUUGUUGGAGCUAAUUCAAGUGGGGUUUCUGUUGCUUGCAACCUAACUGUCUAAGUCUGUGCUGGGCAUACCCUCUUUCGUGAAGCUGUGUUUUCAUCACAGGGCUGGGAGGAAGGAGACAGUUUGUAUAUUGGUGACGUCCAGGAGGGAAAGGAAACAGAAUGAGGGAAAGGGCUUGAGUGGGGAGGGCUGCUUGGCUGGGCAGGCCAGGGCUUCUUGACGGGUGCCGCUCACUGACAAACAGGAGCUGAGGCUGAUGGGAAAGAACAUUCUAACAAAGGGUGCCGCCAUCACAGGGCCCAGGUUAGGUCGCUUGAUAGAUCCCAGAAACAGAAAGGAAGCAUCAUGGCAGCCACACAUCUUCUGAAGAUCUCAAGGCCUAAUUCAUGUCCCACCUCCUUCUGGGAUGUUCCAUGACUGGUCUCAGGUCCCUCCUUUGGGCUCCAGUGCUCCCAAGCUCUACCUGCUUUGCACUUCAAACUUCACAUGCAAAAUAGCGUACUAUGUAUCAUCUUCA
Long non-coding RNA from Mesocricetus auratus (golden hamster), 894 nucleotides. RefSeq lists it as uncharacterized. The record is from RefSeq and is a predicted model, not a curated record. The transcript has 3 exons. NCBI's taxonomy places the organism in Eukaryota, Metazoa, Chordata, Mammalia, Rodentia, Cricetidae.